RNAcentral lists this ribosomal RNA (490 nucleotides) under uncultured bacterium. RNAcentral's name for it is "partial 16S ribosomal RNA". It matches the Rfam family "Bacterial small subunit ribosomal RNA", at positions 30 to 507 of the family's 1533-position model. The record is from RNAcentral.
AUUGAACGCUGGCGGCAUGCCUUACACAUGCAAGUCGAACGGCAGCAUGAUCUAGCUUGCUAGAUUGAUGGCGAGUGGCGAACGGGUGAGUAAUACAUCGGAACGUGCCCUGUAGUGGGGGAUAACUAGUCGAAAGAUUAGCUAAUACCGCAUACGACCUGAGGGUGAAAGUGGGGGACCGCAAGGCCUCAUGCUAUAGGAGCGGCCGAUGUCUGAUUAGCUAGUUGGUGAGGUAAAGGCUCACCAAGGCGACGAUCAGUAGCUGGUCUGAGAGGACGAUCAGCCACACUGGGACUGAGACACGGCCCAGACUCCUACAGGAGGCAGCAGUGGGGAAUUUUGGACAAUGGGCGAAAGCCUGAUCCAGCAAUGCCGCGUGUGUGAAGAAGGCCUUCGGGUUGUAAAGCACUUUUGUCCGGAAAGAAAUGGCUCUGGUUAAUACCUGGGGUCGAUGACGGUACCGGAAGAAUAAGGACCGGCUAACUACGUG